This 77-nucleotide transfer RNA is filed under the name Mesopusillimonas faecipullorum. RNAcentral describes it as "tRNA-Arg". It matches the Rfam family "tRNA". From Rfam's summary of the family: Transfer RNA (tRNA) molecules are approximately 80 nucleotides in length. Their secondary structure includes four short double-helical elements and three loops (D, anti-codon, and T loops). The record is from RNAcentral. Lineage: Bacteria; Pseudomonadati; Pseudomonadota; Betaproteobacteria; Burkholderiales; Alcaligenaceae.
GCGUCAGUAGCUCAGUUGGAUAGAGCACGGGCCUUCUAAGCCUGAGGUCGGGGGUUCGAACCCCUCCUGACGCGCCA